AAUAAUGACUAAAAAAGUUUUUUUUCCUUUUUCUUCGUGAAAUGGUGCUUUACGAGUUGACAUGGCAACAGAUAGGGUAUCCGUGAAAAUCACUCUAUCUGUCCGAACCUCUGAUUAAUAUUUUUAAAAUCUGAAUCUUCUCAAAUUCGAUUAAAAUUUAUUUUCAAUUAACCGAACACAUUACAAACUCAAUUAUUAUUACUCAAAAA
RNAcentral lists this unclassified non-coding RNA (209 nucleotides) under Hevea brasiliensis (rubber tree). Lineage: Eukaryota; Viridiplantae; Streptophyta; Magnoliopsida; Malpighiales; Euphorbiaceae. The record is from RNAcentral.